GUGCAGGAACCCUCACCCGCCCGAGCGGGGCCCUGGGCCUCCGGGUCACUCUCUGUGGCGGGGUCUGGCUGCGCGUCAGACGGCCUCCUCCAAUGCCCGCAGUUGCUGUCGCCCCCAGGCCUGGACCGGGGAGUGAGGGGUGGGCCUGACCGGCCCCUGAGCUCCCGUCAGCCCCCCACGCGAGCCCGUCCUGUGCUGGGGGCAGGGAGAUGGGCCGGUGGGAGAGGAGACCGCAUCCAGCCCUCCCUGGCCACCUGCAGGGUCCCCACCGUGGCGGCUGCUUUACUGCUAACUCCUCCCGGGGACCCCAAGUCCCCAUCGCUCUCGGGGGUCCCCCUCAUCCGAACCGCCUCGGAGGAGGGCCGCAUCUCACGCGGAGCACCCCUCCACGCCUGUGACCCUGGACUUGCUCUCCCGCCCCCGCCCGGGCCUCAGGGCUCAGGAGGCCGUGAUGAAGCCAGCAGGUGAACUGCACCCUGGAGCCUCCGACGGGGCGGCCACGGGCAGCGAAGAACCCGGAAAAACAGUACCCUUCUGAGGUUAAUCCGCGUUGAUAGAAGCAGGUGUGGUUCAUCUGGAAUCUGUUGGUGUGAACUGCGCGGCGGCGUCCCCCACCAGGCACCACAGGCCCGGCGGGUGGUGUGGGGGCCGCAUCUCAUGGAGGUCUCCGUCCACGUUGCCCCCAUUGUGACCGCAGCGGGCGCCUCUUGGUAGCAGCCACCGGCCUCUUCUGGGACUCGCCGGAGGGUUUCCACGUCGCCCGCUCCGACGGGGCUGUUCAUCUCCCCUUGAUCUGUGGGACUCCCCGUCCGUCUCAGAUCCCAUGGCUUGUCUCUGACACAAGACGCCAACGAAGAUCGGCAUUUCUGCAACCUCUGGCUUCCAGGAAGGCUGCCUCCCUCCCCAACUUCCUCUGAUCAUCGUGCGGCUGAGGAACAGAUGGGGAACCAGGUGCACAGAGAGGUAUGGCCACCUUCACGGGGUCACACAGGCUGAGAAAUGAUAUGGUGGGUGAUGCAGAUGAGGGUCCAGGGUGCCUGCCCUGGGGAGCAUGAUGAGCAGAUGGCGGUGCAGCCACACGUGGAGGACUCAGCUCCCAGAGCAAUAAAGGGACACCUACGCCAUGCAUGAGGCUGGGAGACUGUGCAGGGGGAAGAAGUCACUCGCCAGGAGCCCAGGUGUGUGGAAUUCUGGAACAGACUAGAUCUACCCUGGACUAACCUGGACUGGAACUAACAGACUAGAACUAACUAGAACGAAUUCUAGAACUAACCUACGGUGGAAAACAUCAGAAUGGCAGUGGCUUCUGGGGGCCAGAGGUAGGAAGGCACUGGGCAGGGGUAUGCAGCAACAUUUUGGGGGCAUUGUCUUUUUUAUUUUUCAGAGGAAGGGUCUUGCUCUGUUGCCCAGGCUGGAGUGCAGUGGCUCAAUCAUGGCUCACUGCAGUCUUGACCUCCUGGGUUCAAGCCAUCCUCCCACCUCAGCCUCCUGAAUAGCUGGGACCACAGGCAUGUGCUGCUACACCUGGCUCAUUUUUUUAUUUUUGUAGAGAUGGGGCCUCCCUGCAUUGCCCAGGCUGGUCUUCAACUCCUGGGCUCCAGUGAUCCUCCCACCUCUGCCUCCCAAAGUGUUGGAAUUAUAGGCGUGAGCCACCGCACCCGGCCUGAUGUCUGUCUCUUGAUAAGGGUUUGGGCUGCAGAAGUGGUCCGUUAGUCAGAGCAUUCAGUGGCUCCUUCAGAGUUAUACAUUUCAUGGUAUGUGAAUUUUACUCAAAGCAAUAAAAAAUCUGAAACGAAUAUUGAACUCUAGAUCAUGACAUGCAGUCGGCCGGUUAAGGGGGAGAGAGUACUGGUGCCUGCAACUUGGAAAGAGAUUGAUUAUGGGUGGGCAGAGGGACAGAGAAACAAGAUGAAGCGGGUCUAGCGAAACGUCAGUUGUGGAAUAACAGGUGAUAGCAUCUGGGUGCUCACUGUGAAAUCAUCUCAACUUUUCCAGAUGUUUGAAACAUUUCAAAGUUCAAUAUGAAAAGCAAUGAAAAAGAAUCUGGGCUUUGCAGACAAACUGCUGGGAGGUGGCCACGGCCCAGUAUCUGUGUGGUCCUGGGUGGGUUUCUCAGCCUCACGGUGCCUCAGGGUCCUGACUGUUAAGUGUGGGUGGUAAUAGCACCGCUGCCCACGGCGUGGGUGAAUUAACACAGGCAGGGCACUUAGACAGUGCCUGGCACACAGCAGGUGCUUAAUAAAUGUGCCCUUUGUUGAUGUUAUUCCUCAGCCCUGAAAGUAUCAGCCACGUGUCCUCCAGCUACUCAGAGAUGCUGAGGAACAGCUGGGAUUUGCACUGGGUUCACGUGCAGGGGACCCCAAAGAGCCAAAACAAGCUUGAAAAGGAAAGAACAAAGUGGGAAGACUCAGCUGGGUGCAGUGGCUCAUGCUUGUAAUCUCAGCAUUUUGGGAAGCCAAGGCAGGAGGAUCACUUAAGUCCAGGAGUUCAAGACCAACCUGGGCAACAUAGCAAGACUCCAUCUCUACAAAAAAAAAUUUUAAAUUAGCUGGAUGUGGUGGCAUAUGCCUGUAGUCCCAGCUACUCAGGAGACUAGGGUGGGAGGAUCGCUUGAGCCUAGGAGUUCAAGGCUGCAGUGAGCUAUGAUUGCACCACUGCAUUCUAGCCUGGGCAACAGAGCAAGACUCUGUUUCUAGAAAAAAAAAAAAGUGGGAAGACUCACACUUCCUAUUGUGAAAACUUCCUACGGUAAUGAGGACAGUGUGGUACUGUGGUAAGGACAGAUAUGAACAGCAAUGGGCUAGAACUGAGAGUCCAGAAAUAAACCCUUGUAUUUUUACUCUAUUUAUUUCCAAUAAGGGAGCCAAGACAAUUUGAUGGGGCUAGGGGAAGAGGAGACCUUUGACACAUAGUGCUGGGUCAAGUAGUCACAUGCAAGAGAAUGAAGAUGGACCCUUACCUCACACCAUAUACAAACAUCAACUCAAGAUGCAUCCAAGGCUAGGUGUGGUGGCUCACACCUGUAAUCCCAGCACUUUGGGAGGCCAAGGCAGGUGGAUUACCUGAGGUCAGGAGUUCAAGACCAGCCUGGCCAACAUGGUGAAACCCUGCCUCUACUAAAAACACACACACACACAAAAUUAGCUGGGC
Molecule: long non-coding RNA, 3150 nt
Filed under: Homo sapiens (human)
Lineage: Eukaryota; Metazoa; Chordata; Mammalia; Primates; Hominidae
Description: HSALNT0338947
Source: RNAcentral